This 376-nucleotide unclassified non-coding RNA is filed under the name uncultured Actinomycetes bacterium. RNAcentral's name for it is "uncultured actinobacterium contains 16S-23S intergenic spacer region". The record is from RNAcentral. Lineage: Bacteria; Bacillati; Actinomycetota; Actinomycetes.
UCCGGUUUGUCACCGGCAGUCUCACAUGAGUCCCCAACUUAAUGCUGGCAACAUGCGACGGGGGUUGCGCUCGUUGCGGGACUUAACCCAACAUCUCACGACACGAGCUGACGACAGCCAUGCACCACCUGUGAUCCUGCCCCGAAGGGAAGGUGUGUUUCCACGGCGUCACCCCGCAUGUCAAGCCCUGGUAAGGUUCUUCGCGUUGCGUCGAAUUGAGCCACAUGCUCCGCCGCUUGUGCGGGUCCCCGUCAAUUCCUUUGAGUUUUAGCCUUGCGGCCGUACUCCCCAGGCGGGGCGCUUAAUGCGUUAGCUUCGGCACAGAAGGGGUCGAUUCCUUUUACAGCAAACGUGCACCGUUUACGGCUAGGACUAC